UUCAAUAUCUUGGAGGACCGGAAGAUGGUGACAAGAAAAUAGAGCUAAAGCCUGGAUAUAUGAUGGAGCAGGAUAAAGAUGUUGGAGCUGUUGUUGUUGGAUUUGACCGCUAUUUCAACUACCACAAGAUUCAGUAUGCUACCCUGUGCAUACGUGAAAAUCCAGGAUGUCUCUUCAUUGCUACAAAUCGUGAUGCUGUUACCCAUCUUACAGAUGCUCAGGAAUGGGCAGG
RNAcentral lists this unclassified non-coding RNA (232 nucleotides) under Hevea brasiliensis (rubber tree). The record is from RNAcentral. Lineage: Eukaryota; Viridiplantae; Streptophyta; Magnoliopsida; Malpighiales; Euphorbiaceae.